Molecule: long non-coding RNA, 886 nt
Organism: Spinacia oleracea (spinach)
Lineage: Eukaryota; Viridiplantae; Streptophyta; Magnoliopsida; Caryophyllales; Amaranthaceae
Exons: 7
Source: RefSeq, a predicted model, not a curated record
UUCAUUUUCCAACCUAAGCUUCUCUCAUCUCUCCUCAUCCUCCUCUCAUCAAAUCAAACUCCAUAAUAAUCCACCAAAUUCCGAUCUUCCCACCACCAUUCAUGUGUUGUUUGUCUCAGUCUCAACCAGGUGGCUGGUGGCAGUGUUGCGUCAGAGUUUGAUCUUUUUUGUAGAAUAACAAGAAGUUGGUGUUUGGGGAUGUCUAUGGAGCUGUUUUGCUUCCUAAACAGGUGGAGCUUGAAAAAUCCCAGAAUAUGGACCUUCAAUUCCAAGUUCCUGAUGUUGGCAAAGCGUUUCAGAAUUUUAUUGGAACCAGAGAAGUAGGGGAGUUUCUUAGUGGUGCUCUGGUUGGUUGGGGCAAUGGCGAAGGCGGUUUUAGCACCUCUUGGAACUAUCAGGCUGAGGUUGAAGAUGUAACAAUGGUGUGUUUUCUAGACACAGUAAAGUUGUUCUUCCAGAUUACUUAAUAAGAGUUGAAGUGGGGGUUAAUUUGUUUGAUUUUACUUCAGGUAUCAUCUUCAGGAUUCUUCAACCAUUUAGCGUCUGCUUGCUGCAAAUUUUGUUGGAUCUGACCAGAUUGUGGCGCCGAUGAUGAAGUUAUGGAACUCCAUGAAAGGGAUCAAGGUCAAAAAUCUUAUGUAGGUGCUAUUAAGCUUCUUAUUCUCAGGUAUUCAAUAAUCCGAGGGAACGGCCUUUCACCUUUGAGGAAAUAGAUGAAGUUCGAGAAAUGUUGGCAAACUUCAUUACCAGUGAUUGUCUUUGAUAUUUUCUUGUACUGAAUCUUAAAUUACGGAUGCUAGCUAGGUUUUCAUAUGAUUGUAAUGUAAUCGACUUUUAUAUUUACAAUUAUAUACUAUUUAAUUUAAUUAUCUAUAUAAUUGGAUAC